This 452-nucleotide ribosomal RNA is filed under the name uncultured organism. RNAcentral's name for it is "partial 16S ribosomal RNA". It matches the Rfam family "Bacterial small subunit ribosomal RNA", at positions 330 to 798 of the family's 1533-position model. The record is from RNAcentral.
CGUACACUCCUACGGGAGGCAGCAGUGGGGAAUAUUGGACAAUGGGCGCAAGCCUGAUCCAGCCAUGCCGCGUGAGUGAUGAAGGCCCUAGGGUUGUAAAGCUCUUUCACCGGUGAAGAUAAUGACGGUAACCGGAGAAGAAGCCCCGGCUAACUUCGUGCCAGCAGCCGCGGUAAUACGAAGGGGGCUAGCGUUGUUCGGAUUUACUGGGCGUAAAGCGCACGUAGGCGGACUAUUAAGUCAGGGGUGAAAUCCCGGGGCUCAACCCCGGAACUGCCUUUGAUACUGGUAGUCUUGAGUGCGAGAGAGGUGAGUGGAAUUCCGAGUGUAGAGGUGAAAUUCGUAGAUAUUCGGAGGAACACCAGUGGCGAAGGCGGCUCACUGGCUCGAUACUGACGCUGAGGUGCGAAAGCGUGGGGAGCAAACAGGAUUAGAAACCCUAGUAGUCCCAU